UCCCACGCUUCCCUCCCUGAGCGUGGCGCCUUUUAAGGCAUUUCGCCCCGACCGAUCCCCUUGGUCGGGGCUUUUUUU
RNAcentral lists this non-coding RNA (78 nucleotides) under Candidatus Methylopumilus turicensis. Its description in RNAcentral is "Burkholderia RNA 7 (anti-hemB)". It matches the Rfam family "Burkholderia RNA 7 (anti-hemB)". Rfam says of the family: This RNA motif was identified by computational search in b-proteobacteria Burkholderia. Co-purified with Hfq, expression confirmed by Northern blot. The record is from Rfam by way of RNAcentral. Lineage: Bacteria; Pseudomonadati; Pseudomonadota; Betaproteobacteria; Nitrosomonadales; Methylophilaceae.